Non-coding RNA from Branchiostoma floridae (Florida lancelet), 85 nucleotides. NCBI's taxonomy places the organism in Eukaryota, Metazoa, Chordata, Leptocardii, Amphioxiformes, Branchiostomatidae. The record is from Rfam.
GUUGUGUGUGGAUGGUGUUCAGCACCAAGGACAGGUUUUGUUGUGUGUGGAUGGUGUUCAGCACCAAGGACAGGUUUUGUUGUGU